UUUAUAUUCAAGGGCGGAAACAGGGAAAAAUAAAAGUGUUGGGAUUGGAGGUUUGACUGUGAACUCUUGGCUUUUGAUAUAUGUAGAUAGAUGCGUAUGGAAUAAACCAACUAGGGUGAAUGUUCCUUAUCUCUGUCCCCUGUGGUCUGGGAGUAGUGACUUCCCCAUGGCCACAAGCAAAACUAUCCAACCUAGACUUUGGUUUCAGAAUACCAUUCUCCACCUUGGAUUCUACUAAGGAGUUCAGAGAGCCAGGACAUCUUGCAAAUCUGACAAUACUCAAUGAAUUUGAAGCAGGUGGCAGAAAGCAAAGGAACAGCAUCAAUAAUGAGACACUCCUACAAAUUGCUCCACAUAAGAAGAUGUAAUGAGAAGGAUCCCACAUCCCUUCUAUGGUGUAUAGAAUUACGAGGAAGCAUUAGUCAAAGCCAAAUUGGGAGGAAUUCUGUAAAUAAAUAUACCUCAAGGACACCACAAGUCACUGAUGCUCCAGUCCCUUAUAAAGACUAGCGCAGUGUUUGCAUAGAACCUGUGCAUAUCUUCCUGCGCAUAGAACUAGCUCCAUAAAGCACCCCUAGAUCCCUCCUAAUGCCUGAUACAGUGUAAGAGCUUUGGAAACAGUUGUUGCACUGAAUUGUUUAGGGAAUAACAAGGAAGAGUAUACAUGUUCAGAACAGACACGAUUCUUUUUUUUUUUCCUAAAUAUUUCAAUCCACAAAUUCAGCAGAACCCACAGAGACAGAGGGCCAACUGUACUUGCACCACAGAAAUUGGCAGAUGUCGGGCUGGGGUUGUGGCUCAGCAGUAGAGCACUCGCCUGGCACGCGUGAGGCACUGGGUUUGAUCCUCAGCACCACAUAAAAAUAAAAUAAAGGUAUAAAGAAGAAACUGACAGAUGUCACAACCCAGAACCCAGCCCUGACUGUUAAAUGUUUACCAGCACAUGGGUCUUUGUAUCAUCUUUCCGACAUUUUUUGUAAAUUUGUGAUUGUUUCAAAAGUUAUUAGAUAAAAAGAUUCUUUUGAGUAGGGCUAGUAA
Molecule: long non-coding RNA, 1038 nt
Filed under: Marmota monax (woodchuck)
Lineage: Eukaryota; Metazoa; Chordata; Mammalia; Rodentia; Sciuridae
Rfam family: tRNA (bases 788-856)
Source: RNAcentral